UACGUAGGGUCCAAGCGUUAUCCGGAAUUACUGGGCGUAAAGAGUUGCGUAGGUGGCAGAGUAAGUAGAUAGUGAAAGCGUGUGGCUCAACCAUACAUCCAUUAUCUAAACUGCUCAGCUAGAGGAUGAGAGAGGUAGAUGGAAUUCCUGAUGUAGGGGUAAUAUCCGUAGAUAUCAGGAGGAACACCGAUGGCGUAAGCAGUCUACUGGCUCAUUCCUGACACUAAGGCACGAAAGCGUGGGGAGCGAACGGG
RNAcentral lists this ribosomal RNA (254 nucleotides) under uncultured bacterium. RNAcentral describes it as "partial 16S ribosomal RNA". It matches the Rfam family "Bacterial small subunit ribosomal RNA", at positions 524 to 776 of the family's 1533-position model. The record is from RNAcentral.